This 490-nucleotide ribosomal RNA is filed under the name uncultured bacterium. RNAcentral's name for it is "partial 16S ribosomal RNA". It matches the Rfam family "Bacterial small subunit ribosomal RNA", at positions 30 to 507 of the family's 1533-position model. The record is from RNAcentral.
AUUGAACGCUGGCGGCAUGCCUUACACAUGCAAGUCGAACGGCAGCAUGAUCUAGCUUGCUAGAUUGAUGGCGAGUGGCGAACGGGUGAGUAAUACAUCGGAACGUGCCCUGUAGUGGGGGAUAACUAGUCGAAAGAUUAGCUAAUACCGCAUACGACCUGAGGGUGAAAGUGGGGGACCGCAAGGCCACAUGCUAUAGGAGCGGCCGAUGUCUGAUUAGCUAGUUGGUGAGGUAAAGGCUCACCAAGGCGACGAUCAGUAGCUGGUCUGAGAGGACGAUCAGCCACACUGGGACUGAGACACGGCCCAGACUCCUACGGGAGGCAGCAGUGGGGAAUUUUGGACAAUGGGCGAAAGCCUGAUCCAGCAAUGCCGCGUGUGUGAAGAAGGCCUUCGGGUUGUAAAGCACUUUUGUCCGGAAAGAAAUGGCUCUGGUUAAUACCUGGGGUCGAUGACGGUACCGGAAGAAUAAGGACCGGCUAACUACGUG